AACGAACGCUGGCGGCGUGCUUAACACAUGCAAGUCGAGUGCGCGUCCCGGUCGCAAGACCGGGAUGGCGCACGGCGCACGGGUGCGUAACACGUGGGCAAUCUGCCCUUCGAUGGGGAAUAACUCCGGGAAACCGAAGCUAAUUCCGCAUAACAUUCCGAGGACCCCGGUCUUUGGAUUCAAAGCCGUAAGGCGUCGAAGGAGGAGCCCGCGCACGAUUAGCUAGUUGGUGAGGUAACGGCNCACCAAGGCUAUGAUCGUUAGCUGGUCUGAGAGGAUGGCCAGCCACACUGGAACUGAGACACGGUCCAGACUCCUACGGGAGGCAGCAGUGGGGAAUCUUGCACAAUGGGCGAAAGCCUGAUGCAGCGACGCCGCGUGGGGGAUGAAGCAUUUCGGU
This 400-nucleotide ribosomal RNA is filed under the name uncultured bacterium. Its description in RNAcentral is "bacterial SSU rRNA". It matches the Rfam family "Bacterial small subunit ribosomal RNA", at positions 29 to 422 of the family's 1533-position model. The record is from RNAcentral.